GCAACCCUAGCUCAGUUGGGAGAGCGUUAGACUGAAGAUCUAGAGGUUCCGAGAUCGAAACUCGGGGGUUGCA
Transfer RNA from Trachipleistophora hominis, 73 nucleotides. It matches the Rfam family "tRNA". Rfam says of the family: Transfer RNA (tRNA) molecules are approximately 80 nucleotides in length. Their secondary structure includes four short double-helical elements and three loops (D, anti-codon, and T loops). Lineage: Eukaryota; Fungi; Microsporidia; Pleistophoridae. The record is from Rfam.